UAAUAUAAAAAAGCCUUUUUCUCAAAUAAAGGAAUGCAUAAUGGGCUUUUCAGUGGGUAAUAAACCAGCAGAAUCUGUUUAUACCAAGGUUUUCAUGAUCUGACAGAUUUUCCUAAAAUUUAGGGUUGUUGCUAUUUGGUAAGAAGUAGGGAGCUUACAUCUUUCUGUUUAUUUUAAUUUUAGGUAAGUUGAUUAGUGCUAAUGGUUCCUCUUCUUUUGUAUACAUUUUUUAUUUCAUCUUGUCAAUGCUUUGUUAUCAGUUACAUCCAGUCUCCUGUAGAGAUGCACUAUUUCACCAUUGCUGUCAUAGUCUAGGACUAAUGAGACAUCUGACAGUUUUUCAUGUUUGUGAUAUGUGUUCUGUAUCCUUAGUACACAGGGGAUGUGCCCAGAUUUGGAGAGUAACUGAGCCUGUGGAAUAGCAAGACGCUUUCUAAUGGCAUUUGACUGUAUUUUCAAAAACCGUUAUGACAAGGGAUGUUACUUUGAGUCAUCAUUCAGUUAAACAAAUAGAUGCAUGCAUUGGGAUUCUUGACUUAGUGUGAAAGUUAUAUUUCACUUGGCAUUUGACUGAAUAUUUGAAUUUAAAAGUUUUAUUACAUAAUAUACAGGCAAAAUAAUCCCAGUGCUUAUUUUGCUUACUACUUGAGAAAGGCAACAAGAAUGAAUUUCUGUAAUGUGUUUGUAGCAAGACAGGUGUUUUGAAGUUAUUUCAUCACAUUAUUUGAUUUGUACACAUCUGUGAGUUUCCAGGUAUAGAAAGAUUUUGUUGACAAUUUCAGUUCCUUUGGAGGUUGAAAUAAUUCAACAUGCAGCUUAUAAUUGCUUCUUUACAUUGUAAGAAUGAUCCUCUUUAGUUAUAAUUGUAUGCUUUGUUCCCAUUCUUACAAUUUUGGAACACUCUUAUGCAUCAAUAUAUUUUAAUAUAUAUAUAGGGGAGAGAAUAAAUUAUUAACCAACUGCUUAAGCUUUAGCUCUAAGAACUUUAUGUUUAUCCUAUAUGAAUUAUUUUCAAAAUUAUUACAUAGUUAAGAUCAUUUCAACUGCAAAACUCAUUGACCCCCAUCUAGUAUACUGGAUAACAUGAGGAAGUUUGACUUUGCUAAUACUUGUCAUUUUUCUAAAUAGGCAAAUUAUCCUACCUGGUGUGUUGAAGGGACUCUACUCAAUAGCUUGCAUUUGGGAAAUAACUUUAAGAAGUCCUGUCUAAUCCAAAUAAAAUGCAUUCUACAUGCAGUUUAAAGAUUCUCUUCUGUUCAUCCUUGUAUUCCCCAGUCUUGGCUUAGGCAUAACCCAGGUUCUACAACCGGCAGCAUUGAGGAAUGGGCCAAAACAUGGCCUAUUUCUUCACUGGUUUUGUUCUAUUUCUUCUACCACUUGUUAGCUGUUGCUUCUGGCUCCUUUAAGAUCAGGCAAGGAAGAGGAACUAGAAGAAAAGGGCAAGGUUUAACUUGAUCAUUGCCAUUGGAAUCUGGCAUUGAGGCCAUCAGUUUGUCAGAUGUGCAAAUAAAUGCUGGUUCUUUCUCUCAAAGAAUGCUUUGUUGGACUCUAUAGAAUCCUUCCUACUGCCCUCCCCCUGCCUACUCAGGGAUCUCCAGCCCUAUACCUUUCUCUGAGGUGGAUGACAUAUUCUCUGGCUGGCCUGAAUGGACAUUGUCCCCUCAGUUACUGCUUCUAAGAGCAUACCUUGCACAUACUUGCUAUAGAAGGCAGUUUUCCUGAGCUGUGUACUUUACAGAUGUCUCAAAUCCAGAGACCUUAUUCUAGCCAAAAAGAAAACUCAGCACGUUUGUUUUUGUGUCUGAAACUUGGACAUGCAGCAGGUGCCAUUGCAGCUUUUUCUUGGAUAUUUGCUAUCCCAUGCCUUUUUCAGAUGACAGUCCAAAUUCUAGGCAAUGCAGUUGAAGGUUCCAGGAGAAUUCUUUUCUAUAUCCAGGUUCAGUAGUAACAUUAAAGUAACCUAUGAGUUUCUAUAGCUGAAUAAGCAUGGGACCUUAACUGAAAAGACUUUAUUGCAAAAAAUGUUGAUAAUCAUCUGAACCUUCAGUGAAUUGUAAUCUUUUUGCUGGUGGAGAGUCUUCCCUCAAUGUUGAUGGCUGCUGGUUGAUCAAGGUGGUGGUUGUGAAAAGUUGAAGUGGCUGUGGCAGUUCCUCUUCCAGCUUCUGGUAGCUACCGAGAUUUCUUGUCUUAUGGUCCCAUCACUGUAGUGUGUGCUUCCAUAGUCACAUUGCCAUCUCCUCUUUUAUCUGUUAUAAAA
Molecule: long non-coding RNA, 2257 nt
Filed under: Homo sapiens (human)
Lineage: Eukaryota; Metazoa; Chordata; Mammalia; Primates; Hominidae
Description: HSALNT0107644
Source: RNAcentral